CCUACGGGAGGCUGCAGUGAGGAAUAUUGGUCAAUGGACGAGAGUCUGAACCAGCCAAGUAGCGUGAAGGAAGACGGCCCUAUGGGUUGUAAACUUCUUUUAUAUGGGAAUAAAACAGGGUAUGCAUACCCUCUUGUAUGUACCAUAUGAAUAAGGAUCGGCUAACUCCGUGCCAGCAGCCGCGGUAAUACGGAGGAUCCGAGCGUUAUCCGGAUUCAUUGGGUGUAAAGGGAGCGUAGGUGGAGUCGUAAGUCAGUUGUGAAAGUUUGCGGCUCAACCGCAAAAUUGCAGUUGAAACUGGGAGGCUUGAGUGCAGUAGAGGUAGGCGGAAUUCGUGGUGUAGCGGUGAAAUGCGUAGAUAUCAGGAAGAACUCCGAUGGCGAAGGCAGCCUGCUGGACUGCAACUGACACUGAGGCUCGAAAGUGUGGGUAUCAAACAGGAUUAGAUACCCGGGUAGUC
Molecule: ribosomal RNA, 460 nt
Filed under: uncultured bacterium
Lineage: Bacteria
Description: partial 16S ribosomal RNA
Rfam family: Bacterial small subunit ribosomal RNA
Source: RNAcentral